AAAAAAAAAAAAAAGAAGAAGGAGAAGAAGAAGAAAGGAAUGAAGAAGUAAAGUGCAUUAAAUGAAAAUGGUAUGUAUCAAUCAACAAAUGUUGACCAAAGAUAUAGAAGAUAAAGGUCAAACAAUAGAAAACAGAAGCAAGAUGAAAUUGAGAAGUCAAGAAAUAAAUAAAAUAUUUUUGGCAUUUUUAAUAUUUAAAAU
RNAcentral lists this long non-coding RNA (201 nucleotides) under Lathyrus oleraceus (garden pea). RNAcentral describes it as "Pisum sativum (pea) long non-coding RNA (PSAT_LNC007176)". Lineage: Eukaryota; Viridiplantae; Streptophyta; Magnoliopsida; Fabales; Fabaceae. The record is from RNAcentral.